Molecule: ribosomal RNA, 616 nt
Filed under: uncultured cyanobacterium
Lineage: Bacteria; Bacillati; Cyanobacteriota
Description: bacterial SSU rRNA
Rfam family: Bacterial small subunit ribosomal RNA
Source: RNAcentral
GAAUCUGCCUUCUGGUCGGGGACAACCACUGGAAACGGUGGCUAAUACCGGAUGAGCCUUAGGGUAAAAGAUUAAUUGCCAGAAGAGGAGCUCGCGUCUGAUUAGCUAGUUGGUGGGGUAAAAGCCUACCAAGGCAUCGAUCAGUAGCUGGUCUGAGAGGACGAUCAGCCACACUGGGACUGAGACACGGCCCAGACUCCUACGGGAGGCAGCAGUGGGGAAUUUUCCGCAAUGGGCGAAAGCCUGACGGAGCAAGACCGCGUGAGGGAAGAAGGCUCUUGGGUCGUAAACCUCUUUUGUCAGGGAAGAACACAAUGACGGUACCUGACGAGUCAGCCUCGGCUAACUCCGUGCCAGCAGCCGCGGUAAUACGGAGGAGGCAAGCGUUAUCCGGAAUUAUUGGGCGUAAAGCGUCCGCAGGUGGCGAUUCAAGUCUGCGGUCAAAGACUGGGGCUUAACCCUGGAAAGGCCGUGGAAACUGAAAAGCUAGAGUGCAGUAGGGGUAGAGGGAAUUCCCGGUGUAGCGGUGAAAUGCGUAGAGCUCGGGAAGAACAUCGGUGGCGAAAGCGCUCUGCUGGACCUUAACUGACACUGAGGGACGAAAGCUAGGGGAGCG